UGGAAAGCGGAGGAGGGCGGAAUUGGCGGUGGCGGGACCGCUGGUAGCUGUUGGAGAAGGGAGUCAUGGUGUGGAGUGAAGUGAAGAAGAAGAAGAAGAAGAAGAAGAAUAGAAUUUUGGAACCCUAGAAGAAGAAAAAACCAUAGUCGGAUUGAAUUGCUAAGGAGACUGAUCGUAAUCUAGAUCAUCGCAGCGGUUCUCUCUCUUUUAGAUUU
RNAcentral lists this unclassified non-coding RNA (215 nucleotides) under Hevea brasiliensis (rubber tree). The record is from RNAcentral. Lineage: Eukaryota; Viridiplantae; Streptophyta; Magnoliopsida; Malpighiales; Euphorbiaceae.